RNAcentral lists this ribosomal RNA (465 nucleotides) under uncultured bacterium. RNAcentral's name for it is "partial 16S ribosomal RNA". It matches the Rfam family "Bacterial small subunit ribosomal RNA", at positions 28 to 507 of the family's 1533-position model. The record is from RNAcentral.
GACGAACGCUGGCGGCGUGCUUAACACAUGCAAGUCGAACGGAAAGGCCCUGCUUGCAGGGUACUCGAGUGGCGAACGGUUGAGUAACACGUGGGUGAUCUGCCCUGCACUUCGGGAUAAGCCUGGGAAACUGGGUCUAAUACCGGAUAUGACCUUCCAUGUAGUGUGGGGGGUGGAAAGUUUUAUCGGUGUGGGAUGAGCCCGCGGCCUAUCAGCUUGUUGGUGGGGUAAUGGCCUACCAAGGCGUCGACGGGUAGCCGGCCUGAGAGGGUGGACGGCCACAUUGGGACUGAGAUACGGCCCAGACUACAACGGGAGGCAGCAGAGGGGAGUAUUGCACAAUGGGCGGGAGCCGUAUGCAACGACGCCGCGUGGGGGAUGACGGCCUUCGGGUUGGAAACCUCUUUCGACAGAGACGAAGCUUCGGUGACGGUACCUGUAUAAGAAGCACCGGCUAACUACGUG